This 2162-nucleotide unclassified non-coding RNA is filed under the name Hevea brasiliensis (rubber tree). The record is from RNAcentral. Lineage: Eukaryota; Viridiplantae; Streptophyta; Magnoliopsida; Malpighiales; Euphorbiaceae.
GGAAGUUGACUGUUUGAAAUACAACUGAUGGUCCCCUGCAACUUUCACGGCACCUUCCUGUAAUACCAUCUUCAGUCUUGAUCCAAUUCAGUUUAUCAUCCAAUUUCUCAUCUGGGUCACUGUUUUUAUGCUAUAGUUUCACAAAUGGUGGCUUCUUCUCUGGCAUCUCCACUAUGUACAUGGCUCGUAGCAGCUUGCAUGUCUGUAUCCAGCGAAAAGGAUCAAUUUUCGAAGCCUGCUUCUAGCUUUCAGUCUUCCAAGUUCAUGGGUAGGAGAAGAAAAGCGAUUACCAAGUUCAAAAGUGGGAGCUUGAUGAAUGGUUCUGUAAUGAACACUUCUUGGCAUAAUUGUUUUGGUUUUGAGCCCUGUGAGGAGUAUUAUAAAUCAGACGGAUUCUCUGCUUCUUUUUCGUCUUUAUUUGCCGAAAAUCCGUUUUCUGUAUUUGGGUUUAAACAGGUGCCAUUGAAUCGAAGGCAGAGGAGAAUGAGCUCUGCUGCUCAUCCUGGCAAACCCAUGGCUGUGGCUGUGCAACCUGCAAUGGAAGCCACGACAAUGAAGAAACCUCUUAUGAGGAACAGGAGAGUUGUUGUGACCGGGGUCGGUGUAGUAUCACCAAUUGGUCAUGAUCCAGACAUGUUUUAUAGUAAUCUUCUUGAAGGCAUCAGUGGUAUAAGUCAGAUUGAGGCUUUCGACUGUUCUGAAUUUCCCAGUAGAAUUGCUGGGGAAAUCAAGGAAUUUUCGACUAAUGGAUGGGUUGCACCCAAACUUUCGAAAAGAGCAGAUAAGUUCAUGCUUUAUAUGCUUACUGCUGGAAAGAAAGCUUUGGCAGAUGGUGGGAUCACAGAAGACUUAUUGCAGGAAUUAGAUAAGGCUAGAUGUGGGGUCCUUAUUGGCUCUGCCCUUGGAGGGAUGAAGGUCUUCCAUGAUGGCAUUGAGGCUUUACAGGUGUCGUACAAGAAGCUGAAUCCUUUCUGUGUACCUUUUGCAACAUCCAAUAUGGGAGCUGCCAUGCUUGCAAUAGAUUUGGGUUGGAUGGGUCCAAGCUACUCAAUCUCCACUGCAUGUGCAACAAGUAACUUCUGUAUAUUGAGUGCUUCAAAUCAUAUAAUUAGAGGUGAAACAGAUAUGAUGCUUUGUGGGGGGUCAGAUUCGGCAAUUAUUCCUAUAGGCUUGGGAGGUUUCAGUGCUUGUGGAGCCCUGUCACAGAGGAAUAGUGAUCCAACAAGGGCUUCACGUCCCUGGGAUAUGGACCGUGAUGGAUUUGUGAUUGGGGAAGGAUCCGGCGUCUUACUUUUAGAAGAACUUGAACAUGCAAAGACGAGAAAGGCUAAAAUAUAUGCUGAGUUUUUGGGUGGAAGCUUCACUUCUGAUGCUUAUCACAUGAUAGAGCCACAUCCAGAAGGAAGUGGAGUUGUUCUCUGCAUAGAAAAGGCCUUGGCUCAAUCUGGGGUGAAACGUGAAGAUGUCAACUAUAUAAAUGCUCAUGCUGCAUCAACGCCAGCCGGUGACCUGAACGAAUAUCAGGCUAUUCUGCAUUGCUUUGGGAAGAACCCUGAACUUAAAAUAAAUUCAACAAAGUCCAUGACUGGUCAUCUCCUUGGGGCUGCUGGUGCUGUGGAAGCCAUCGCAACAGUCAAGGCCAUACAUACAGGAUGGAUCCAUCCAAACAUCAAUCUUGAGAACCCUGACAAUGGCUUGGAUAUGAAUGUGCUGGUGGGCUCUAAGAAGGAGCGCUUGGAUAUCAAGGUUGCACUCUCCAACUCAUUUGGCUUUGGAGGACACAACUCGUCUAUUCUAUUUGCGCCUUAUAAGAAUGUCUAAUUCAAUCCUUGCACAUAUCAUGUUUAAAGAAUGUAAUGUUGUGUUGAUUUUCAUCAAGUUGCCCUUGAAAGAUUCCAGCAUGCCAACGAAAGCUAGAACAUGAACUAAACAUCUUUACUAGUUCAUCAAAAAGGAAAGCUGGCACCGGAGAUCACGAGUGUGUGAAGUCAUUUUCCUAACUGUACUACCUUUUUAACUACUAUAGAUAUUUUGAAAUUGGGUUCAUCUUUCUAUUAGUUGUUCUUAGGUAUGAACUGUAGCAGCCAAUACAUAAUUCAUCUCACAUCUGCUUGGAAAUGAGAAAUAUGUUUUUUUCUUUGUGAUAUACUAUUGUUGUAUUU